This 547-nucleotide ribosomal RNA is filed under the name uncultured Glomeromycotina. Its description in RNAcentral is "SSU rRNA". It matches the Rfam family "Eukaryotic small subunit ribosomal RNA", at positions 548 to 1098 of the family's 1831-position model. Lineage: Eukaryota; Fungi; Glomeromycota. The record is from RNAcentral.
UUGGAGGGCAAGUCUGGUGCCAGCAGCCGCGGUAAUUCCAGCUCCAAUAGCGUAUAUUAAAGUUGCUGCAGUUAAAAAGCUCGUAGUUGAAUUUCGGGACCAUCAUGUCGGUCGUGCCUCGGUACGUACUGGUAUUGUUGGUUUCUCCCUUCUGACGAACCAUGAUGUCAUUUAUUUGGUGUUGUGGGGAAUCAGGACUGUUACUUUGAAAAAAUUAGAGCGUUUAAAGCAGGCUCACGCUUGAAUACAUUAGCAUGGAAUAAUGAAAUAGGACGUUUGAUUCUAUUUUGUUGGUUUCUAGGAUCGACGUAUGAUUAAUAGGGAUAGUUGGGGGCAUUAGUAUUCAAUUGUCAGAGGUGAAAUUCUUGGAUUUAUUGAAGACUAACUACUGCGAAAGCAUUUGCCAAGGAUGUUUUCAUUAAUCAAGAACGAAAGUUAGGGGAUCGAAGACGAUCAGAUACCGUCGUAGUCUUAACCAUAAACUAUGCCGACUAGGGAUCGGAUGAUGUUAAUUUUUUAAUGACUCAUUCGGCGCCUUACGGGAAAC